Molecule: ribosomal RNA, 505 nt
Filed under: uncultured bacterium
Lineage: Bacteria
Description: partial 16S ribosomal RNA
Rfam family: Bacterial small subunit ribosomal RNA
Source: RNAcentral
GACGAACGCUGGCGGCGUGCCUAAUACAUGCAAGUAGAACGCACAGUUUAUACCGUAGCUUGCUACACCAUAAACUGUGAGUUGCGAACGGGUGAGUAACGCGUAGGUAACCUGCCUGGUAGCGGGGGAUAACUAUUGGAAACGAUAGCUAAUACCGCAUCAUAUUAAUUAUUGCAUGAUAAUUGAUUGAAAGAUGCAAUUGCAUCACUACCAGAUGGACCUGCGUUGUAUUAGCUAGUAGGUGAGGUAACGGCUCACCUAGGCGACGAUACAUAGCCGACCUGAGAAGGUGAUCGGCCACACUGGGACUGAGACACGGCCCAGACUCCUACGGGAGGCAGCAGUAGGGAAUCUUCGGCAAUGGACGAAAGUCUGACCGAGCAACGCCGCGUGAGUGAAGAAGGUUUUCGGAUCGUAAAGCUCUGUUGUAAGAGAAGAACGGGUGUGAGAGUGGAAAGUUCACACUGUGACGGUAUCUUACCAGAAAGGGACGGCUAACUACGUG